Molecule: ribosomal RNA, 425 nt
Filed under: uncultured bacterium
Lineage: Bacteria
Description: partial 16S ribosomal RNA
Rfam family: Bacterial small subunit ribosomal RNA
Source: RNAcentral
GUGGGGAAUCUUGCGCAAUGGGCGAAAGCCUGACGCAGCCAUGCCGCGUGAAUGAUGAAGGUCUUAGGAUUGUAAAAUUCUUUCACCGGGGACGAUAAUGACGGUACCCGGAGAAGAAGCUCCGGCUAACUUCGUGCCAGCAGCCGCGGUAAUACGAAGGGGGCUAGCGUUGCUCGGAAUUACUGGGCGUAAAGGGCGCGUAGGCGGACAGUUUAGUCAGAGGUGAAAGCCCAGGGCUCAACCUUGUAAUUGCCUUUGAUACUGGCUGUCUUGAGUACGGGAGAGGUGAGUGGAACUCCGAGUGUAGAGGUGAAAUUCGUAGAUAUUCGGAAGAACACCAGUGGCGAAGGCGACUCACUGGCCCGUUACUGACGCUGAGGCGCGAAAGCGUGGGGAGCAAACAGGAUUAGAUACCCGGGUAGUCC